Molecule: long non-coding RNA, 3042 nt
Organism: Passer montanus (Eurasian tree sparrow)
Lineage: Eukaryota; Metazoa; Chordata; Aves; Passeriformes; Passeridae
Exons: 3
Source: RefSeq, a predicted model, not a curated record
CGCGGGGCUCGCCGUGCCGGGCCGUGCCGGGCCGGGCGGGACGGGGAGCCCCUCGGCCCGCGGGGACAACGUGCGGCCGCAGGGCGGGCGUCGCGCAGCUCUCCCGGGGAGCCGGCGGUCCCCUCGUCACAGAACCGCAGCAUUCUCUGAGUUGGAAAGGGCAAGGGACACACAUGGAUCAUCGCGUCCAGCUCUCGGCCCUACACAGUACCAUCCCCAAGAGUCACAAAUCCUGAAUGAAAAUUCCUGUUGGGAGACAGAUCAGUGACCAGUGGAAAAAAGAGAGGAAGAUGUCUGGAAAAAACAAAUUCCUUUCAUUAUUUCAGACAGAAAGGCAACAAGAAACUGAACAAUCACACUGAUCCUAAACAAACAUUGACUGGAGGGUAAGUAACAUGAAAAACUAUAAAAAAGGAAAAAACCAAAAAUAUCCAAGAAAACAUUUUUACUGGCUUCUCUGAAAGAGGGAACAUGCAACUGCAUCAAAAGACUACAAAAGAAAAUUUGUAAUUGCUUCUGACAGAAGUUUGGACUCUUCCAGUCAUGGCCACAAGCAAGUCUGCAGUCUUGAACAAAGAUUUCAUCUCCUCCAGCAACUGGUAUACGCCUUUCUUAGUUUAAAGAAAUGGAAUGUGGACAUCCAGGUCACACAUUGGCUUGUCUGCUCUACAUGCUGAAAGCAUAAUUGCAAGCUAAUCACACAUAGAUCAUUAUAACAAAUCAAGAGUAUGUAUCCACAAAAUGGGAAGAAGGAGAACAAAAGCCUAAGUCUGUCCCCACUGUGGCAUCAUGAGGCCCCUGAAACUUCUUGGCAGCUCCUAUUCACAGAAUUUGUGAAGCAGUAGAAGGAAAAUUGCAGGAGCAAAAUUGCUGGGCAUGCUGCUAUUCCUGCACUCAGAUAUAUGCAUGGGAGAAGAGGAAAAUGGCAGGGGCUGGAAAAAGAGAGGCUGUGUUACCUCUACUGGUGUGUGCUUGGGAUGAUCUUACUUAUUUCUGGGGCAAUCUGCUAAAUACCUCUGCAGGGUGAAUGUGGGAACAUCGCUCCCAAUGCUAGGUAUACUUUCUUCUGUACCUUCCUGGACUGAUAACUUGCCUCAGCACAGACACCAGCUUUCUCAUCUCUCAAAUGGACUAACAGUUGAAAUGAAGAACUGAAAAGCACAUUUUCUUCCAUGCCUCCCCAGUUGCAAGGUUUCUGGUUGCAGCUAUAGUAGCCAAAAGGGCAUAUGCUAGCACAAAUGCUUCAAUAAAGCUGACAGACAACAAGCUCUCUAUCAGCCUUCUCCUUAGCUGGGUCUUUUCAGAGCCUCUGGCAGUGUGACAAGAAAGCAGCCAAGCCCAAAACAGCAGGAGUGGCAUGCUAAACUGCAAGGAGGGCACAGAAUAAAUUGUAAAAAUGACAGAGGCCAUAUGGAGCCAGAGACUCAGGGAAAAAUCCUAAAAGGUGAUCAUGAUCUGCAACAUGUUGGUGGGAUCACUUCAGCCCAUUAUGGUCUUUGCACAUAGCUGGGCUACCCUGCAUCUCUGCCUCUGCUCCCUUUUGAAUAAAGGCAGAGUGAGAAAAAUAUCAGCCCCUACGUACAUGGGAAAGGCUCUUUAGGGUGUGAGCAAAGGGAAGGCUGCCUGGGGACACCAGGGGAGAAUGUAGAAGCAGCAAAAGGCCAGCAUUGUCUUGUAGCAGUGGAAGCACAAGUGGUAUAAUCCCUGAAAAUAGAAGUGAAAGAGGCAGGAAAGUAGGGGUUCAUGACAGAAAGCAGGCUUGUAUUAGCUCUGAGGUUGGUCUGGGUGGCGGGUAGGCACCUCAAAUAACAGCGCAGGCUGUGCCAACCACACAGGCACAGGCUGGAGGACUGAGGGAGGGGGUGAAAGGUACAAAGAAGGUUUAUUUUGCUGAAAAUUUACACUCUGUGUUCAGGCAAGAACAAGGCAGCAGCUGAACAGAGCUGCUCCUUAGGUGCAGGGACAGCUAAGCCACAGUGGAGGCCUUGCAGCCAAAAACAACAAGAGUAAAAGGCCUGUUUAUCUAAGUGCUAUCUUUUCCCCAAAGCCUGCUAAGAGUUACCAAGAAGUACACAAGAACUUCACACAUUGGGCAAAGCAACCACCUAACAGACCAGUGUGAGAGAAGACCUGUGCACCAGCAGUCCGUUCUUGAUUCAGUUGCACUGGGGCCUGCAGAGGGCUUUGCCUGCUAGCAGUGGCAGCCCCAGCACGGCUCUCCUGAGUCCUGCCAGAGACCUUCCCAGGAGGAGACAAACUGAGGAGCUGAGGGUGGGCAUCCCCAGUCAGGGGAGCAACUGCAAGUGUCAGCUUGGCUGGGCAGAGGCAGGCUAACCCUACCUCUUGAAGCCUUGCAAAGCCAUGGAUUGGGACACUCAGGCUUUUGGGGUACAACAGGUUUUCCAGUUGCUGUCCUUCAUAUACCCCUGGCUCCUGCUGAUCCACCUGCAUGCAGACAGGUCUGUCGUGCCAGACUGACCCCUGUGAGUUAGUGGGAUGGUCAGCACCCUGCAUUUGAUUUUAAGCUCAGCGUGACAGAAAGACACUUAUUUCUGUGAAAUAUGGAUACUAAGAAAGGGGUAAUGCAGAGCAGCUGCUGGUCAUGCAGACUGUUAGCUCCAUUGUCACUCAGAACAGCCCUGAAUGAACAACCUCAUGGUGUUGCCUGCAUUUCCACUCCCCAUUGUUAGCUGAGGCAAUGGAUGUCUCCUGUGGAAAUAAGAAGUUUCCUCAUUCUAAUGGAUAUGUUCCAAAGCAUUUUGUCCCCAUGUGAUGCUCUCAGCAGCCAGCUGAACUGUCACAUUCAUGAUGGACAGGAAUGCCAAUAACAUAGCUUUUAAAUAAUUUCAGAUUCUGUAGGGUGAAAAUGCUAGAUACAGAGAUGUCACAGCUCUGAUAAAAAAAAAGGGACCAGGACAUGGAACAUGGCAAUACUGCAAUUCACUUCAUAAGCCUGCGUAACCAAUGAGUUGCUUUAGGAGCCAAAUUAACCAGUCCUUUAUAAACAGCCCUAGCUGAGGGUAUAAAAAGCCCUAGUUGUAG